RNAcentral lists this ribosomal RNA (253 nucleotides) under uncultured bacterium. RNAcentral's name for it is "partial 16S ribosomal RNA". It matches the Rfam family "Bacterial small subunit ribosomal RNA", at positions 524 to 776 of the family's 1533-position model. The record is from RNAcentral.
CACGUAGGAGGCGAGCGUUGUCCGGAAUCAUUGGGCGUAAAGAGCGCGCAGGCGGCUUGGCAAGUCGGGUGUGAAAUCCCGGGGCUCAACCCCGGGACUGCAUUCGAUACUGUCAGGCUAGAGGUAGGUAGGGGAGAUCGGAAUUCCUGGUGUAGCGGUGAAAUGCGCAGAUAUCAGGAGGAACACCGGUGGCGAAGGCGGAUCUCUGGGCCUUACCUGACGCUGAGGCACGAAAGCGUGGGGAGCAAACAGG